UAUUGAACUAUUCUGCCUAUAUAUCUACACUGAAUGGUGAAAUCUCAGAAAUGGUAUGCGGGUAAACUAUGGACAUAAGCUUUAAGGACAGUAGAAUUACCUAUAAAUAUUUGCAUCGAGCAAUGCGCUUCCGAAAACAGGUGCGUUAUUGCUUUAUAUUAAUUUAUGCCUAACUUGUCCUUAUUGUUUGAGGAAGAGCCUCGCUCGAUGCAAAUAUUUAUAUGCAAUUCUACUCUCCUAAAAUCUUAUGUCCAUAGUUUACCAAUAUAAUACAUAUUCAUUCCUACCUGGGCUGCUUGCUGAUUUUGUUAAAUUAGUUCAUCCAAAUACCAUUUCUAAGAUUCCACCCUUCAGUGCAGUGUAUAAAAUCAGAAUAUCCAAUACAGUAUUAGAGCUCUAAAAAACGGUCUGGUAGAUUAAAUUGGUGAAACUGCUAGAAGAGAUCCACCACUGAUGAGCCAAGCCCUCCCAAUAUUUUGUCAUUGCAGUAAGGACAGUAGAAGUUUGUUUUAUUGAUAAAAGAAACAUUCAUGUUUUAAAAUACUUUCAUUCAUUAUAUACUAGACGAAUGACCCGGCUUCGCCCGGGAAUUCCCCAGAGUGCAAUUUCCUUCAUACUGAAAGAACAUCACUAAUAAAUAGUAUUAGAGCCAUAGAAUAGCAACACCGAAGUAAUACAUAGUUCAAAUAGUUGGCAGAUUUUCCACCCAACCUCCGAGGUACCCGCCCCAGCGUGUUAACUCUUAUAUAUAGUGGUGCAUCCUCUGUAGGUCUAUUACACUCUUUGGGUAAAAAGGGAUAAGGAUUGAAAUUGCUUGAGAAGAGUGACCGUGAUUGACCAAGCCUAGCCAGCAGCCUGUAAUCUAAUGUUUUCAGACCCCAGUCAAACAUUCGUAGAUGUUUUUCUGAAAAAUAAUUAAAAAAACUAAUAUUAAUAUAAAUCAUAAUAAUCUGCAACUGUCCUUGAAUAUUCUAGAGAUUUACCUUUCAAAUAUAUACGUAUAUAGAAAGAAUUAUGAAAAUAAUAUACCACUCAAACAACAACAAAAAAAGACUAAAAUAGCAUUAAAAAAAAAUAUUCAUGACAACAUAGAAGAAUACACAAAAUUUGAAGUCUUAUUUUCUGGAGCCAAAACAUAAAGAUUUCUUCCUGAGCCAACUCUAGAGCAGGCAACAUACAAUUGCCCAUGCGAGAAACAGGGUUGCUCCAAGUCAAUGCCAGCAAUUUUGAGGGACUGACCUUGAGCCUUGUUAAUCGGCAUGGCAAAAGAAACUCGAAUGGGGAACUGCAAUCUUUUAAAAUGCAAAGGAGAAUGUUUAUCAUCAUGAAUCAGAGGAAUCCGGGGAAUAAAAUCCUCUUCAUUUUGAAAACAACCAGUCAAAAUGGUUGCCUCUACAACAUGAGGCCACAAUCUUUUAACACAGAGACGGGCACCAUUGCAAAGGCGGGGUGCAUCAAUAUUUCAUCAUCAAAUAUAUACGUAUAUAGAAAGAAUUAUGAAAAUAUUAGACCACUCAAACAACAACAAAAAAAAAAGACUAAAACAGCAUUUUAAAAAAAAUUAUUCAUGACAACACAGAAGAAUACACAAAAUUUGAAGCCUUAUUUUCUGGAGCCAAAACAUAAAGAUUUCUUCCUGAGCCAACUCUAGAGCAGGCAACAUACAAUUGCCCAUGCGAGAAACAGGGUUGCUCCAAGUCAAUGCCAGCAAUUUUGAGGGACUGACCUUGAGCCUUGUUAAUCGACAUGGCAAAAGAAACUCGAAUGGGGAACUGCAAUCUUUUAAAAUGCAAAGGAGAAUGUUUAUCAUCAUGAAUCAGAGGAAUCUGGGGAAUAAAAACCUCUUCAUUUUGAAAACAACCAGUCAAAAUGGUUGCCUCUACCACAUGAGGCCACAAUCUUUUAACACAGAGACGGGUACCAUUGCAAAGGCGGGGUGCAUCAUAUUUCUCAAUAAAAUAAUGGGAACACCAACUCUAAGUUCUAAGUGAUGUGGUGGCAUCCCAGAAGGUUCUAAAGAAUUUAAAAACUCUGUUGUAUAUUCCACGCAAUCCUCAGCAUCAAUGGUGGAAUCCACAGAAGUAUAUAAAAUGCUUUGCCCUGGUAUUUCAUUCAAAAGCUGAGCAUUUAUGGCAUCAACUACACAAUUCCUUGGAGCCAAAAUUGCCCGCUCACAAAGCCAAGGAUAGUAAUUCGCCCUUCCCCGGUUAAACAUUUCCCCAAUGUUAGGAAAAACACUAUUCUUUAGGCCAGAGAGGGAGUCACACACACACACACAACAGUGUUAACCAAUUCAUUUGAAAAAUUAACUUCCAAGUUGAAGCAAAAAUUGUGAAAAUAACAGUGAGUUAGGAUCUCCUGAAUUGACAGCCCGCAUAUUUGUUGAAAGAGUAAGCCUUUCAACAAAUGACCAAAGUGGGGAUGCCUAUAAGCAAGCAUGCAACUCAUCUGCUAUUGUACCUCUAGGGAUAAUGGGCAAUAUCUGCCUGAAGUCACCGGCCAACAACAACACUACACCUCUCAUUGGUCUCAGAUCCUGCCUAAAAUCUUUAAGUGUUAUGUCAACUGCCUCUAAAGCAUGCCUGUGUGCCAUAGUACAUUCAUCCCAGACAAUAAAUUUGCAUUGUCUAAGAACUUCGCCUAUUGCGGAAUCAGCAUUCAAAUUACAAACUGGUACCUCAUCCCUGGUCAAAUCUAAGGGUAAUUUGAAAGUCGAAUGAGCAGUUCUGCCACCAUGCAACAGAGUGGCCGCAAUACCAGAAGAAGCUGUAGAAAGAGCAAUGUCCCCAGUACUUCGUACCUUUGUAAGAAGAAGAUUGAUCAGAAAGGUUUUUCCUGUGCCCCCAGGAGCAUCAAGUACAAUCCGCCAGCAUUGGAAUCAAUUUUAGAAAGGAUCCUUUCGUAAGCCUCCUUUUGUUCAGGGACAUUGGCAAGUUUCGGUUCAUUCGAAGCCACAAAUUGUAGUAACCUGCUGAGAUCAUACGAUGUUUCUCUUAAAAGUUCAUGACUGGUUCGGUGAGUAACAUUGCGCUGUGGGGACUUUAUGCCAAACAUUUUCAAAUGGAAACCAGUCAUUUGCAGAACUUUUUGUUCUAAAAGUAUUAAAGCUUGAUUUGACAUUUCGUAUGUCAGCUGUAAAAGACCGUCAUUGGCUUGCUGUCUUGCAAGAUUCAGAAUAUCUGCAGACAUUGGUUCUUUAAAUUGUGCCCAGAUAUCUUGAGGGUUGGUAGGGUGGCAGCAGGUAAGAAUAAUAGCAAAAGGUUCCCGGAUUUUUAAAGGAGACUCACUUAGCACUGCCUCCUGAAUACAAUGAUGCCAUUGCUGGUCAUUCUCAAGCAAUUCCAAAUGCAGAAAUGCCUCUUUAUAUGUUUGACAGAGCAAACCAUUGAUUGUUCUGAGGGCUGCAAAAGAAGUUGGACCACGAACACUAUGAAGCAGCAUGCGAAGAUAAAAACAUUCCUCAAAAUUUGGAUGAACGAUGUAGACUCUGCCAAUAGCAUCAGAAGCAAAAGCAACUUGGUCAGCAAUGCGAGUGCCUUAUUUUCGAGGCUGCCAUAAUUUAGAAGCAGACCAAAUGUAGUAAACAGGAACUUCAACAUAGAGAAGUGUUUUUGCAAAGUUAUCGCGCUGGCAAAGGACAAAAAAUUCUGUCAACGUGGUCUUAGGUGGACGGUGAGCCUGUAGUGCAGCAUUAGCAGAAGUAAAAUAUACACGCUGCCCAUUUUCCAAGUGUACAGAGAGAUGUUGAACCAUUGGAUGGCGUCUGUGAAUAGGGAAUCCCAGAAUGCGCCAAACAGCUUCAAUGCUGCUAAUAUAUCGACCAUGUUGGUACUCUAGCACUUCAUUAGACUAUGUUUGAGCACCAGUAACUGCAAAAAUUUAUUGGUCUGAACCCUUGUAUAUGUAUUUGCAGAUAUAUUUUAUAGCAGAGAUUGAAGCACAGGACUCCACAUUGAUGUGAGCAUCAAAUAGUCUGCAUAGAAGAGGCGAAUAUGGCACAACAUACCUAUUAUCAAUGGUAACAUUAGUCAUGCGUACAACCUGAACACCAUUCUCUAUGGUGAAAACUCUCACUCUUUUAACAAAAUAAAAGCCACCUUCCUCAGGCCUGCGACGUCUGUACAAUGGGUAGCCAUCCCUAUCUGUCUGCGUUUCAGCCAAGAGUAGCCGUGGAUAUUUCUUUUGGCAUCUACCCCGUUCCAUGCAGCCAGGAUUAGGAUACCCAUGUCCACAUGGCCCAUGAAUCAUAUUUUUGGUUACAGUCCGAAACAGUGAAGCAUCAACCUCCUCAUUGGGGAUUUCAGCACAAAUGAUCGAAUCAAUCUGGUUUGGGCGAAUCUUUUCUUUAAGCCACAAUAAAAUAUGCGCAUGUGGUAGCCCUCGCUUUUGCCAUUCAAUGGUAUAACACCAACAUUGGGGCUUGCCAAAAACAUCACCCUUGGUGAUCAAAUCUAUAAGCUUGGUAACUUUCAAUUGAAAAAUGCGAGCAACCAAGUCAUGCCGAACAAAUGCACCUUGGGUGGGGAAUUGCAUUAGUUUUAUCUCAGGCUACUCAGGAUUGCAUGUAAAUGUAAUAAAAAGGUCUGGGCGACCAUAUUUACGGACGUAAGCCAUGCAAUCCUGGGCAUACUCAUGCAUGUGCCUUGGACUGCCCACAAAGGAAGAAGGAAGAAUAACUUGUCUUCCAAUAAGGGCAUGACUCCUGUCAGUGCGAAUAGCAUCUAACAGAUUGAUGUAUUCGGUUGCACGAAGUUGAGCUUGAUGCGCUGAGAUGCAAUGCAGCCUUUCAGAUUCCACCUUGGUAUAAAUGUCGACCAGAAUUUGAUGGAUCAAAUCUCCAAAAACCAGUAACCAAUUUGUUAGUCCAGGAUUAUGGCUACGAAUCAUUAGCAGUGAAGCAUAAAAAUCCAUGCAAGAAACCGUCUUGUGCGCCGAAGGAGAACCCCAUCAAUCAGCUGAGGGAUAUGGAAAUUAUAACCAUCUUGACCAUUCCAAAAACCCAAUGGGUAUUGCAGGGCGUCAUAAGACCUGUGAAACUCGUUAAUCCUCUGCACACCACUGCCUCUUUUGGAAAGAACAAUGUCACGUCUGUCACAGUUUUCCUGCACAAUAACAAUGGCAACCUCAUUAAUGGUUGGAGCAUUGAUUGUGCGAGGAUGGUGUCCAGGCGGUGCUUUGUCAGCCUUAAUGAACAACUUGUAAUCAGGAGAAGGCAUUUUUUCAAUGGAAGCUUUGAACAAAUGGACAUAAGGAUUAUGUCGAUGCAACAUAUCUUGCAAAAUGCUAACCAUUGAGAUUAGUGGGGCUUAGGGGCUUAGUGAUGGGAAAGUUUCUAUGGCGGGUGGCAACCUCUGCACUACUAUCUCCGAUGAAGAAAACCUGAAGGAAUGCUGGCUGUAGUUGGCGGCUAUCAGAGUUGAGUGGUGGCAAAACAGAGCCAAUUCUAUGAUAGACCUGGCCUUGGACCUUAAACGUUGGCAUGUAACCUGGCAACACAACACGACUACCACACCCAAAAGAUGUCAUUUGGAAGGCAUUGUUAUAGUGACGGACACGUUGCAUGAACUCAGCCGAGUGAGGAGAAGACCCAUCGAGCAGAGUUCUGAGAGCUUCUGGGGGUUCAGGUAAAUCAGGAAUUCUGACCUUCCCUGCAGAACAGCACAUUCCAGGCCGCUCACCAUUGUACUUAAAGGCAGUACAAUGCAGACAUUGUUUAUCCUUAUGGCCAAUCUGAAGAAAAGUAAAGUGUUCAUAAUUCAGGGCCGGAUUGUAAUGGAAAGCAGCAUUGAGCAUAUCAGCCCAAGUGCUAGCUCGUUGCCUGAAAUACCGCAACUGGUCAGCCUCCUGUCGUGUUUGGGAUUGCUGGGGAGUCUCUGAUGCGCGUUGAACUCUGUGGCGCAGCCGGUCACUUUGGAGGCGGGCUUGAGACUGUUGGGGAUUCUCCAAUGUGCGGCUACUUUGGCCUCUAGCAGCUCGGGCAGCCAUGCGUCGAGCUGCAGGAGUUCUUACUCCAAUUGCAGAUAUUUUGCGAGGCAUAUCAAAUGGGAUGAUUCAAUUUGAAAAUAUGUCCUAAAAACAGAAAUAGCACAAUCAGUACCAAAAAUAUUUUUGUAUAUAUAUAUAUAUUUAAAAAAGCUUUUAAGGAAAACAGUGCAGACCCAAAACAAAUCCAAUAAAUCAGAAUAAGUUACAGAACAAAACUGAUUAUCUAGUAGAAAUUUUUAAGUUUGUAAUAUCAAAACUACAUUGAUCACUAACCAUAACUUGGUAACUAAACCAAAUUUCUCUCUCAACAUUUCAGCAGAAAAAAAUAAGGCUAAAAAAGCUAAUGGCAAAACAUGUCAAACAGGUCAAUCUUUAGAAUGCUCAACUAUUUUUUCCCUAGCCUAAUAUCUGCGUAAACAAAAGGAAAGCAGCAUUAUAGAACAAAAUACACAGAAAUGGCAAGCGAAUAAAAUAAAUGACAACAGACUAAAUUUUAAACUAUCAAUGAAACAUAUGAUUUUUUUUAAAGAAUAACAAAACAAAGGCCAUUACAACAAUUAAAAAACAUAAGCUCAUUGUUUAUAUACAGUAAUAAAAGUUUGUAAAUAUUGUCAAAUCUGCAUUGUUUACUAACCGUAACUUUGUAAAAUGUAGUGCCCUAUCAACAUGUCAGAAAAAAAAUAAUACUAAAAAAAACUAAUGCCAAAAUAGCCAUGUUAAUAUUUUAGGCUGAUAAAAACCAAAGGGUAUAUGGAUUAUAGACAAACACAUGUUUUGGCUGUUAAAUGAGACAGUAAUUCAUAUUAAAUUUUCACUACUGUAUUUUUUCAUAUUGACUAUUGUUUGUUUAAUUUUAAGAAUUUUCAUAUUGACUGUAAAAAAAAACAAAGGCCAGAACAAAAAUUAAUAAAAAAUAAGAAAGCCAUUGUUUACAUACAGUAACGCUAAUUUUGUAAAGUUUUUUUUUUUUUAAUUGUGUGAAAUUUCGCAUUGUUUGAACUUACCUUAACUUAGUAAUAUAAAUUUCUCUCUCAAUACUUUUGUAAAAAAAGUGACACUCUUAUAAAAAGAUAUUUUAAAAAAAGUACGCAAGCAACUUGAAAAGAAAUGCAGAACGCUCAUUGGUCGCUUAAUUGGCCUCGUGUUGUUACUUACCCUCGUAUUUACUCCGCGUAAGCCUCGUAUUUACUCCGCGUAAAAAAAAAGUUUUUCAAAUGAAAAAAAAGAAAUAGCCAAAAAUACUAAGCAAAAUGUAGCCGAAAAUUUUCCUCAGGUUUAUAAAAAGCGACAUGCAAAAUUUGGUACCAAUUGGUUCAGUAGUUUUUGAGUUUAUCGCGAAACAGACAGGCAGAAAUUGACUUUUAUAUAUAGAGAGAUAGAUGUGGCCUUAUUGCUUUAUAUAAAAAAUAUCUGUUGAAUCUCAGUAGACGCAUACCUGACUGAGGCGCCAUUGUUCAAAAGAGGUGCAUUGCUGCGACAGCAAUUUAUUCCAAAUCGACUACCUAAAACCCACAGUACAUUAUAUCUAGCUCUUUUAAAUCCAAAAUUGGCGCUUUCUUAGAUGGGUUUGCUGUUAAUGUUUUUCUCAAUUAUCCCAAGUACGCAUGGGAUUAGUCAAGAUAUCAUAUAAUUAUCUUUUCUCUAUAUAUGCUUCGCAUAUCAAGACUUUAUACUUAAAAUUAUAUAAAAGGGCUGUUUAAACUCAUAAUUAUUUUAUUGUGGGUCAUUUUUAUCUCGUAAAUAUACCAAAAAUGCCCACUUCUGAGACAUUCUAUUGUACCUUUUUCCCGAGUACACCUGGUACAUAGCAUUAUCAACAGAAGUUGCGAAACUUGUGCAAAAGUUAAAUAUGCUGUUUGAAAAUUUCUAGUUAAAAGUUGUCAGAGACCUGUCUAUUUACACGGAUAUGCUGAAAUCUCGGAGACCAUUGACACCGAAAAGUGGUAAAUUCUACCUUUUUAAACAUACAUUCAUUUUGUAUUUGGUUAGCAACUUUUAAAACAGCUACAAAUAUCGAAGUUAUAUAAUCAUAAAUAAUUUCUGACAUAUUUCACCUAUAUGAAAUUCACUAUUAGCAAACUAUAUAAAUGCGUAUAUAAUUAUUCUAAACCUUUCCAUAGCUUGGUCUUCAAUAUUGUUAAGACGCUUUUCAGCGGUCGUUGUUUUCGUACAAGGUUUAAUGUAGGUUCAUUGUGGAUACAGAUUAGUUUGUUAUACUUUAUUGUCAGGAGCUGUUGAUGGGAUUGAGAACUAGGUACAUUUAGAUGGACUUGUCUCAAAUGUCCGCUAUCAGAAGGAUCUUCCUUGUCAACGUUCCGCUCCAUGCUGUCCACGUCCAACCUGUGCUACACCACCUUGUAGGCCGCUCCGAUGCCGAGGUCCUGGUACCGUUUUGCAGGAUAUCUACACUCCUGGAGGCAAAUCUCCGCGUCUUCCACUCUCCGCAGAUGUGACCAGACUCCGACCUCCCCCCCACACGAAUGCCAUUUUUUGGCACCUGUUCCCCUGACACAUGGCCAUCCCUACUGGAAACACCAGCUCACCAUCCUUCACAUUCCGGCCACCUCUCUAACUAUGGUGCUACCAGCUUCCUAUUUACUGUCUGAGAACACUCUAGUCCAGGGGUCAACAAACUGCAACUCGCGAGCCACAUGCGGCUCUUUGGAUGAGAAACUGCGGCUCUUUAUAUAGUUCCAAACGCAAA
Cordylochernes scorpioides is the source of this 8689-nucleotide non-coding RNA. The record is from the annotation of a GenBank genome assembly. NCBI's taxonomy places the organism in Eukaryota, Metazoa, Arthropoda, Arachnida, Pseudoscorpiones, Chernetidae.